Molecule: ribosomal RNA, 354 nt
Filed under: Arthroderma multifidum
Lineage: Eukaryota; Fungi; Ascomycota; Eurotiomycetes; Onygenales; Arthrodermataceae
Description: eukaryotic LSU rRNA
Rfam family: Eukaryotic large subunit ribosomal RNA
Source: RNAcentral
GGGUGGUAAUUUCAUCUAAAGCUAAAUAUUGGCCGGAGACCGAUAGCGCACAAGUAGAGUGAUCGAAAGGUUAAAAGCACCUUGAAAAGGGAGUUAAACAGCACGUGAAAUUGUUGAAAGGGAAGCGUUUGCGGCCAGACUCGGGCGUGAGGUUCAGCGGGUGCGUGUCACCCGUGCACUCCUCGCCGCCCGGGCCAGCAUCAGUUCUAACGGCCGGUCAAAGGCCCCCGGAAUGUGUCGUCUCUAGGGACGUCUUAUAGCCGGGGGUGCAAUGCGGCCCGUCGGGACUGAGGAACGCGCUUCGGCUCGGAUGCUGGCAUAAUGGCCGUAAACGGCCCGUCUUGAAACACGGAC